AGGUAGAUAGCUCAAGUGGUAGAGUGCGUGCUUAGCAUGCAUGAGGUCCUGGGUUCAAUCCCCAGUACCUC
Camelus ferus (Wild Bactrian camel) is the source of this 71-nucleotide transfer RNA. It matches the Rfam family "tRNA". From Rfam's summary of the family: Transfer RNA (tRNA) molecules are approximately 80 nucleotides in length. Their secondary structure includes four short double-helical elements and three loops (D, anti-codon, and T loops). Further hydrogen bonds mediate the characteristic L-shaped molecular structure. tRNAs have two regions of fundamental functional importance: the anti-codon, which is responsible for specific mRNA codon recognition, and the 3' end, to which the tRNAs corresponding amino acid is attached (by aminoacyl-tRNA synthetases). tRNAs cope with the degeneracy of the genetic code in two manners: having more than one tRNA (with a specific anti-codon) for a particular amino acid; and 'wobble' base-pairing, i.e. permitting non-standard base-pairing at the 3rd anti-codon position. The record is from Rfam. Lineage: Eukaryota; Metazoa; Chordata; Mammalia; Artiodactyla; Camelidae.